UAGGGAAUUUUGGGCAAUGGGGGAAACCCUGACCCAGCAACGCCGCGUGAGGGAUGAAGUAUUUCGGUAUGUAAACUUCGAAAGAAUAGGAAGAAUAAAUGACGGUACUAUUUAUAAGGUCCGGCUAACUACGUGCCAGCAGCCGCGGUAAUACGUAGGGACCAAGCGUUGUUCGGAUUUACUGGGCGUAAAGGGCGCGUAGGCGGCAUGACAAGUCACUUGUGAAAUCUCUGGGCUUAACCCAGAACGGCCAAGUGAUACUGUCGCGCUAGAGUGCAGAAGGGGCAAUCGGAAUUCUUGGUGUAGCGGUGAAAUGCGUAGAUAUCAAGAGGAACACCUGAGGUGAAGACGGGUUGCUGGGCUGACACUGACGCUGAGGCGCGAAAGCCAGGGGAGCAAACGGGAUUAGAUACCCUCGUAGUCCCUGAGCGGGCUGGCAAGGCGCAU
Molecule: ribosomal RNA, 447 nt
Filed under: uncultured bacterium
Lineage: Bacteria
Description: bacterial SSU rRNA
Rfam family: Bacterial small subunit ribosomal RNA
Source: RNAcentral